This 456-nucleotide ribosomal RNA is filed under the name Triticum aestivum (bread wheat). RNAcentral describes it as "partial small subunit ribosomal RNA". Lineage: Eukaryota; Viridiplantae; Streptophyta; Magnoliopsida; Poales; Poaceae. The record is from RNAcentral.
AUGAUCACUGGCAAGGCCAACGCCGAGUCAGAUGUUUACAGCUUCGGCGUUGUCCUCCUGGAGAUCGCCUGCGGCAGACGACCCGUGGUGGUGGUUCACCAAGAAGAAGAAGAUGAUGAUGAAGAUGCGGUCCACCUGGCUCAGUGGGUCUGGAGCUCGUAUGGAAGAGGGAAGAUCCUGGAUGCCGCCGACACACGGAUUGGAGGAGAAUUCGAUGCCCGGGAGAUGGAGUGCAUGCUGAUCGUCGGGCUUUGGUGUGCUCAGCUCGAUCUGAAGCUGAGACCGUCUAUCAGGCAGGCUCUCAACGUGUUGCGGUUUGAGGCGCCCCUCCCUCCCCUCCCCUCAAGGAUGCCGGCUGCAAGCUACAUGCCACCGGUCAGUGGUACAGGGAGCUGCACAUCUUCAUCGGCGGUAACACGCCAAUCAACGGCGCGGCCGCCACUCAGUCGAGCUUGA